GUAGUCCAUGCCGUAAACGUUGGGCACUAGGUGUGGGGGACAUUCCACGUUUUCCGCGCCGUAGCUAACGCAUUAAGUGCCCCGCCUGGGGAGUACGGCCGCAAGGCUAAAACUCAAAGGAAUUGACGGGGGCCCGCACAAGCGGCGGAGCAUGCGGAUUAAUUCGAUGCAACGCGAAGAACCUUACCAAGGCUUGACAUGCAUUAGAUCGCGUCAGAGAUGGCGUUUCCCUUCGGGGCUGGUGUACAGGUGGUGCAUGGUUGUCGUCAGCUCGUGUCGUGAGAUGUUGGGUUAAGUCCCGCAACGAGCGCAACCCUCGUUCUAUGUUGCCAGCGGUUCGGCCGGGGACUCAUAGGAGACUGCCGGGGUUAACUCGGA
Molecule: ribosomal RNA, 378 nt
Filed under: uncultured bacterium
Lineage: Bacteria
Description: bacterial SSU rRNA
Rfam family: Bacterial small subunit ribosomal RNA
Source: RNAcentral